UGGGGAAUAUUGCACAAUGGGCGAAAGCCUGAUGCAGCAACGCUGCGUGCGGGAUGACGGCCUUCGGGUUGUAAACCGCUUUCAGCAGGGACGAAGGUUUUCUGACGGUACCUGCAGAAGAAGCACCGGCUAACUACGUGCCAGCAGCCGCGGUGAUACGUAGGGUGCGAGCGUUGUCCGGAAUUAUUGGGCGUAAAGAGCUUGUAGGCGGUCCGUUGCGUCGGAAGUGAAAACUCAGGGCUUAACCCUGAGCCUGCUUUCGAUACGGGCGGACUUGAGGGAUGUAGGGGAGAACGGAAUUCCUGGUGGAGCGGUGGAAUGCGCAGAUAUCAGGAGGAACACCAGUGGCGAAGGCGGUUCUCUGGACAUUUCCUGACGCUGAGAAGCGAAAGCGUGGGGAGCAAACAGGCUUAGAUACCCUGGUAGUCCACGCCGUAAACGGUGGGCACUAGGUGUGGGACCCAUUCCACGGGUUCCGUGCCGUAGCUAACGCAUUAAGUGCCCCGCCUGGGGAGUACGGCCGCAAGGCUAAAACUUAAAUGAAUUGACGGGGUCAUAGCUGUUUUCCCUG
Molecule: ribosomal RNA, 571 nt
Filed under: uncultured bacterium
Lineage: Bacteria
Description: partial 16S ribosomal RNA
Rfam family: Bacterial small subunit ribosomal RNA
Source: RNAcentral